RNAcentral lists this ribosomal RNA (42 nucleotides) under Zymoseptoria tritici. Its description in RNAcentral is "partial 28S ribosomal RNA". Lineage: Eukaryota; Fungi; Ascomycota; Dothideomycetes; Mycosphaerellales; Mycosphaerellaceae. The record is from RNAcentral.
GACCUCGGAUCGGGUAGGGAUACCCGCUGAACUUAAGCAUAU